CUACCUACGGGGGGCAGCAGUCGGGAAUAUUGCGCAAUGGAGGAAACUCUGACGCAGUGACGCCGCGUAUAGGAAGAAGGUUUUCGGAUUGUAAACCCUUGUCGUUAGGGAGGACACAAGACAGUACCUAAGGAGGAAGCCCCGGCUAACUAUGUGCCAGCAGCCGCGGUAAUACAUAGGGGGCAAGCGUUAUCCGGAUUUAUUGGGUGUAAAGGGAGCGUAGACGGAGAAACAAGUUGGUUGUGAAAUCCCUCGGCUCAACUG
Molecule: ribosomal RNA, 264 nt
Filed under: uncultured bacterium
Lineage: Bacteria
Description: partial 16S ribosomal RNA
Rfam family: Bacterial small subunit ribosomal RNA
Source: RNAcentral